This 468-nucleotide ribosomal RNA is filed under the name uncultured bacterium. Its description in RNAcentral is "SSU rRNA". It matches the Rfam family "Bacterial small subunit ribosomal RNA", at positions 26 to 518 of the family's 1533-position model. The record is from RNAcentral.
AGGACGAACGCUGGCGGCGUGCUUAACACAUGCAAGUCGAGCGGAAAGGCCCUUCGGGGUACUCGAGCGGCGAACGGGUGAGUAACACGUGAGCAACCUGCCCUUAGCUUCGGGAUAGCUCCGGGAAACCGGAAUUAAUACCGAAUAUGAUUUUUGCUGACAUCAGCAGAAGUGGAAAGUUUUUCGGCUAGGGAUGGACUCGCGGCCUAUCAGCUAGUUGGUGAGGUAACGGCCCACCAAGGCGACGACGGGUAGCCGGCCUGAGAGGGCGACCGGCCACACUGGGACUGAGACACGGCCCAGACUCCUACGGGAGGCAGCAGUGAGGAAUUUUCCGCAAUGGGCGAAAGCCUGACGGAGCGACGCCGCGUGCACGAGGAAGGUCUUCGGAUCGUAAAGUGCUGUCGAGGGGACGAUUAUGACGGUACCCCUGGAGGAAGCCCCGGCUAACUACGUGCCAGCAGCCGC